Chiloscyllium plagiosum (whitespotted bambooshark) is the source of this 491-nucleotide non-coding RNA. Lineage: Eukaryota; Metazoa; Chordata; Chondrichthyes; Orectolobiformes; Hemiscylliidae. The record is from RefSeq and is a predicted model, not a curated record.
CAGCUGCAUGAUAAAAGACAGGAGGCUUUUCACAGCCAGCAGCAGGCUGAAGUCACCCAGCACCUGCUCUGACUUCCAGGUCGACAAUUCUCAACAUCCAGCUUGUUUGGCAUGCUCGGUAAAAUAUGAAGCUGAAUAUCAAUGAGAUUCAUCCAACAUCCAGACUGUCCACCCUCAAGUGAACAAAUAGAUCUUGCACCCGAAAAUCCAUCCAUCCCACAUCUUAGGCAGAUCAGCCAGCAAAGACAGAAAUGGUGCGGGGGAAGAAUCCACUACUGCUUAUGGACCUUGGACGUCUGUGCAAGAGAAAGAAAAAUUACAAGGAACAUUGGAUACCCCUAGGUUUCAUAAUUCUCAUGCAAUUUUGCCUGGCAUCCUACAUUUAACCAUCAAUAUUGCCCUGAUUCUGAAUGUCUUCAUCAAUCACCCUAUGCCUGCUUGCCUACUUUGACUUCAAGUUCCAUGUCUUUGUUUUCAAUUCCUGUCAUGCU